This 750-nucleotide ribosomal RNA is filed under the name Staphylococcus aureus. RNAcentral describes it as "bacterial SSU rRNA". It matches the Rfam family "Bacterial small subunit ribosomal RNA", at positions 49 to 817 of the family's 1533-position model. Lineage: Bacteria; Bacillati; Bacillota; Bacilli; Caryophanales; Staphylococcaceae. The record is from RNAcentral.
UGCUAUAUGCAAGUCGAGCGAACGGACGAGAAGCUUGCUUCUCUGAUGUUAGCGGCGGCGGUGAGUAACACGUGGAUAACCUACCUAUAAGACUGGGAUAACUUCGGGAAACCGGAGCUAAUACCGGAUAAUAUUUUGAACCGCAUGGUUCAAAAGUGAAAGACGGUCUUGCUGUCACUUAUAGAUGGAUCCGCGCUGCAUUAGCUAGUUGGUAAGGUAACGGCUUACCAAGGCAACGAUGCAUAGCCGACCUGAGAGGGUGAUCGGCCACACUGGAACUGAGACACGGUCCAGACUCCUACGGGAGGCAGCAGUAGGGAAUCUUCCGCAAUGGGCGAAAGCCUGACGGAGCAACGCCGCGUGAGUGAUGAAGGUCUUCGGAUCGUAAAACUCUGUUAUUAGGGAAGAACAUAUGUGUAAGUAACUGUGCACAUCUUGACGGUACCUAAUCAGAAAGCCACGGCUAACUACGUGCCAGCAGCCGCGGAUACGUAGGUGGGUUYUCCGGAAUUAUUGGGCGUAAAGCGCGCGUAGGCGGUUUUUUAAGUCUGAUGUGAAACCCGUCACGGGGGGGUUUGGAAACUGGAAAACUUGGUAAAAAGAAGUGGAUUCCAUGUGUAGCGGUGAAAUGCGCAGAGAUAUGGAGGAACACCAGUGGCGAAGGCGAUUUUGGUCUGUAACUGACGCUGAUGUGCGAAGCGUGGGAUCAAACAGAUUAGAUCCUGGUAGCACGCCUAAACGAUGAGUGCU